This 564-nucleotide ribosomal RNA is filed under the name Escherichia coli. Its description in RNAcentral is "partial 23S ribosomal RNA". It matches the Rfam family "Bacterial large subunit ribosomal RNA", at positions 911 to 1476 of the family's 2925-position model. The record is from RNAcentral. Lineage: Bacteria; Pseudomonadati; Pseudomonadota; Gammaproteobacteria; Enterobacterales; Enterobacteriaceae.
UGUUUCGGCAAGGGGGUCAUCCCGACUUACCAACCCGAUGCAAACUGCGAAUACCGGAGAAUGUUAUCACGGGAGACACACGGCGGGUGCUAACGUCCGUCGUGAAGAGGGAAACAACCCAGACCGCCAGCUAAGGUCCCAAAGUCAUGGUUAAGUGGGAAACGAUGUGGGAAGGCCCAGACAGCCAGGAUGUUGGCUUAGAAGCAGCCAUCAUUUAAAGAAAGCGUAAUAGCUCACUGGUCGAGUCGGCCUGCGCGGAAGAUGUAACGGGGCUAAACCAUGCACCGAAGCUGCGGCAGCGACGCUGAUGCGUUGUUGGGUAGGGGAGCGUUCUGUAAGCCUGUGAAGGUGUGCUGUGAGGCAUGCUGGAGGUAUCAGAAGUGCGAAUGCUGACAUAAGUAACGAUAAAGCGGGUGAAAAGCCCGCUCGCCGGAAGACCAAGGGUUCCUGUCCAACGUUAAUCGGGGCAGGGUGAGUCGACCCCUAAGGCGAGGCCGAAAGGCGUAGUCGAUGGGAAACAGGUUAAUAUUCCUGUACUUGGUGUUACUGCGAAGGGGGGACGGA